AAUAGAUACCCCGGUAGUCCACGCCGUAAACGAUGAGUGCUAAGUGUUAGGGGGGUUUCCACCCCUUAGUGCUGUAGCUAACGCAUUAAGCACUCCGCCUGGGGAGUACGGUCGCAAGACUGAAACUCAAAGGAAUUGACGGGGGCCCGCACAAGCGGUGGAGCAUGUGGUUUAAUUCGAAGCAACGCGAAGAACCUUACCAGGUCUUGACAUCCCGGUGACCGCUCUAGAGAUAGAGCUUUCCCUUCGGGGACAGCGGUGACAGGUGGUGCAUGGUUGUCGUCAGCUCGUGUCGUGAGAUGUUGGGUUAAGUCCCGCAACGAGCGCAACCCUUGUUCUUAGUUGCCAUCAUUCAGUUGGGCACUCUAAGGAGACUGCCGCAGACAAUGCGGAGAAGGUGGGGAUGACGUCAAAUCAUCAUGCCCCUUAUGACCUGGGCUACACACGUGCUACAAUGGACGGUACAAACGGUUGCCAAGUCGCGAGACGGAGCUAAUCCGAGAAAACCGUUCUCGAAGUUCGGAUUAGCAGGCUGACC
RNAcentral lists this ribosomal RNA (538 nucleotides) under uncultured bacterium. RNAcentral's name for it is "bacterial SSU rRNA". It matches the Rfam family "Bacterial small subunit ribosomal RNA", at positions 777 to 1310 of the family's 1533-position model. The record is from RNAcentral.